GAUAAACGCUGGCGGCGCACAUAAGACAUGCAAGUCGAACGAACUUAACCAUUAGUUUACUAUUGGAGCGGUUAGUGGCGGACUGGUGAGUAACACGUAAGCAACCUGCCUAUCAGAGGGGAACAACAGUUAGAAAUGACUGCUAAUACCGCAUAUGCCAUGAGUAUCACAUGAUACAAAUGGGAAAGGAGCAAUCCGCUGAUAGAUGGGCUUGCGUCUGAUUAGAUAGUUGGUGGGGUAAUGGCCUACCAAGUCAACGAUCAGUAGCCGAACUGAGAGGUUGAACGGCCACAUUGGGACUGAGAUACGGCCCAG
This 315-nucleotide ribosomal RNA is filed under the name uncultured bacterium. RNAcentral's name for it is "bacterial SSU rRNA". It matches the Rfam family "Bacterial small subunit ribosomal RNA", at positions 28 to 334 of the family's 1533-position model. The record is from RNAcentral.